AACCACUAAUCUCAUUCUCUCAAUCAACUCACAUUCACAAAAAAAAAUCUAAGAAGCUCCACUCAUGUGAAAAUGCAGUGACUACACUCCACCAACACUACUAGGAUUCCAAACUCCACCUUAUAAAUCCUCACACCACCGUGAUUUUUCCACUGUGUGAACUCACAAACCUCAAACAACCAUUGUGAUUCACGCUGCAACUUCCAUCCUUCAUACUGCACCUUCUUAUAACUCAUGUAUCCAUUCAAUCUUCCAUAAAAAAAC
Molecule: long non-coding RNA, 264 nt
Filed under: Lathyrus oleraceus (garden pea)
Lineage: Eukaryota; Viridiplantae; Streptophyta; Magnoliopsida; Fabales; Fabaceae
Description: Pisum sativum (pea) long non-coding RNA (PSAT_LNC001031)
Source: RNAcentral